Molecule: long non-coding RNA, 590 nt
Filed under: Homo sapiens (human)
Lineage: Eukaryota; Metazoa; Chordata; Mammalia; Primates; Hominidae
Description: HSALNT0385359
Source: RNAcentral
GUCUCCGCGGAGCGUCACAAAGGUUGGAAGGGUCGCGGGGCCUCUGGGUGCCGAGCUGCAGAUGCCUCCACUGCGAGCACAGCCCUGAGACAAGGGCCCAGGCGCCCAGCGGGGCUGGUUUCACUCAGUCCAGCCGCACCUACCCGUGCCCUCACCAGAUCUUAAGAUACAGACAUUAAAACCUCCACCGGGCCGCGGCACAGGACAGCAGUUUUACUUUCUGUUUUUGGCAUUGCAUUGCCUCCAUUUCCUAGAGUGCACGUAAUAAAUACCGCUGGUGAUUCCAAAAUAUAAAGGUUGAAAAUAUUUACUUUACAAAAAUUUGGUUCCCAUACUGCUUUUAAGGCCAUCCUCUGCACUUGGUUCCCGCUGCUCCUGAUGUGGUUGAAAGAUGGAUGACCCCAAAGACGAGGAAAAGAUUAUUGGCUCCAUUUUUUAGAUGCGGCAGCCAGCUAAGCUGCCUGGCUGCCUGGAGGAACAAAGGAGGGCCGGGCAAGAACGCCAUUACCAACUGCAAAUCCACAGGCAAAUGCAAGAGGACAGAAAGUAAGUUCUUGGGCUCUGCCCUUGUGCCGUACCCGGAGGGGUUC